UACGGAGGGGGCGAGCGUUAUUCGGAAUUAUUGGGCGUAAAGGGCGCGUAGGCGGCUGUACAAGUCAAAGGUGAAAUCCCUCGGCUCAACUGAGGAACUGCCUUUGAAACUGUACGGCUUGAGGCCGGGAGGGGUAGCGGAAUUCCCAGUGUAGCGGUGAAAUGCGUAGAUACUGGGGAGGAACACCAGUCGGCGAAGGCGCUACCUGGACCGGUUCUGACGCUGAGGCGCGAAAAGCGUGGGUAGCAAACAGGA
RNAcentral lists this ribosomal RNA (255 nucleotides) under uncultured bacterium. RNAcentral's name for it is "partial 16S ribosomal RNA". It matches the Rfam family "Bacterial small subunit ribosomal RNA", at positions 524 to 777 of the family's 1533-position model. The record is from RNAcentral.